This 430-nucleotide ribosomal RNA is filed under the name uncultured bacterium. RNAcentral's name for it is "bacterial SSU rRNA". It matches the Rfam family "Bacterial small subunit ribosomal RNA", at positions 355 to 775 of the family's 1533-position model. The record is from RNAcentral.
UGGGGAAUCUUGCGCAAUGGGCGAAAGCCUGACGCAGCCACGCCGCGUGAGUGAAGAAGGCCUUCGGGUUGUAAAGCUCUGUCGGGCGGGACGAAAAGCUUUGGUGUUAACAGCAUCAAGGUCUGACGGUACCGCCAAAGGAAGCACCGGCUAACUUCGUGCCAGCAGCCGCGGUAAUACGAGGGGUGCAAGCGUUGCUCGGAAUUAUUGGGCGUAAAGGGUAGGUAGGUGGUCUCGUUUGUCUGGGGUGAAAGCCUUGAGCUUAACUCAAGAAGUGCCCCAGAAACGGCGAGACUUAGAGUCCUAGAGAGGGUUGCGGAAUUCCCGGUGUAGCGGUGAAAUGCGUAGAGAUCGGGAGGAACACCAGCGGCGAAGGCGGCAACCUGGAUAGGUACUGACACUCAACUACGAAAGCGUGGGGAGCAAACAG